GCACAAUUUAAGCAUUGAAUUAUCUAAUCAAUAAAUGUAAGCAAUCCUUGAUGUUUGAUUUAGCCAACAUUCACUGCCUUAAUCAACACAACCCCAAUAUCAGGUCAAACUACCAUGAAGAAAACAACACCCCAAGAGAAAACAAAAAAUUGUGGAAGACAACUCAAUUUCCAUUCACAUUUUGGUUGAGAAAUGUCAGAGGUUGUAUGGAUACUCAUAAGAAAGUCAUAUAAAAUGAUACUACCAGAUGUGGACAAAUGCAUCCCACAAAGC
RNAcentral lists this unclassified non-coding RNA (273 nucleotides) under Hevea brasiliensis (rubber tree). Lineage: Eukaryota; Viridiplantae; Streptophyta; Magnoliopsida; Malpighiales; Euphorbiaceae. The record is from RNAcentral.